Molecule: transfer RNA, 74 nt
Filed under: Erysipelothrix larvae
Lineage: Bacteria; Bacillati; Bacillota; Erysipelotrichia; Erysipelotrichales; Erysipelotrichaceae
Description: tRNA-Gly
Rfam family: tRNA
About the family: Transfer RNA (tRNA) molecules are approximately 80 nucleotides in length. Their secondary structure includes four short double-helical elements and three loops (D, anti-codon, and T loops).
Source: RNAcentral
GCGGGUGUAGUUUAAUGGUAAAACUCCAGCCUUCCAAGCUGGCUACGGGGGUUCGAUUCCCCUCACCCGCUCCA